CGAGCGGCGGACGGGUGAGUAAUGUCUGGGGAGUCUGCCCGAUGGAGGGGGGAUAACUACUGGAAACGGUAGCUAAUACCGCAUAACGUCGCAAGACCAAGUGGGGGGACCUUCGGGCCUCACACCAUCGGAUGAACCCCAGAUGGGAUUAGCUAGUAGGCGGGGUAAUGGCUCACCUAGGCGACGACCCCUAGCUGGUCUGAGAGGAUGACCAGCCACACUGGAACUGAGACACGGUCCAG
RNAcentral lists this ribosomal RNA (242 nucleotides) under uncultured bacterium. RNAcentral's name for it is "partial 16S ribosomal RNA". It matches the Rfam family "Bacterial small subunit ribosomal RNA", at positions 92 to 334 of the family's 1533-position model. The record is from RNAcentral.